AACCACCCCAUUCCCGGAUGGUUCCGCUGCUGCCCAUCGGCCGGACUCUCCCACUAGCCGGUGUGACCCUGACUCUGUGCCGGGUCUGAGGAUGCCCUCCGUCGUCACCCCUUAAAACGCGUUACCCGCCUUCGGACUGCGUCGCUGCGGCGCACCCCCUCCUGCCGGAAGCCCAACAUUUGGAGAAAGCCAAGACUGCUUCGAGACGCACAAGCACCCCACUGCCAUCCCUGUCUUCUUCGUGGCCGAUUGAUGCACGGUCGUCGGCGCCAUUAUGCAUCCCACGCUCGCAACAGGCCUAAAUAACCCGCAUUUCCCGAGCAUCCGCCACACAGCGCAGCCGGCACUUUAGGACGGCGAAUUGCCACCCGCCCGCCAGCUAUGCCCGUCUGAACUCAAGCCAUCCCCUCUGACCUUAAGGACCACAUCGCCACUUUACGCGUCUAUAGUCCUCCUUGUGGCCACCGCUUCCGCCCAGAGACCCGGCUAUGACUGCGACUCCUCGCUUUCGCACCCCUCGCUUGUCCUAAUCUAUGGGACCAUCAGGUGCGGCAUUUGCAACCCGCGAUCCACACCCCUGACAGUACCAAAGGCACGGCAUCGAUUGCGUAAUUCGCGGGGCG
This 623-nucleotide ribosomal RNA is filed under the name uncultured Actinomycetes bacterium. RNAcentral describes it as "uncultured actinobacterium partial 16S ribosomal RNA". Lineage: Bacteria; Bacillati; Actinomycetota; Actinomycetes. The record is from RNAcentral.